GGCCCAGUGGCUCAGUUGGUUAGAGCGCCGCCCUGUCACGGCGGAGGUCGUCGGUUCGAGCCCGAUCUGGGUCG
RNAcentral lists this transfer RNA (74 nucleotides) under Acetatifactor sp. Its description in RNAcentral is "tRNA-Asp". It matches the Rfam family "tRNA". From Rfam's summary of the family: Transfer RNA (tRNA) molecules are approximately 80 nucleotides in length. The record is from RNAcentral. RNAcentral also lists the same sequence under 3 other names. Lineage: Bacteria; Bacillati; Bacillota; Clostridia; Lachnospirales; Lachnospiraceae.